ACUUAAAUUGAAGAGUUUGAUCAUGGCUCAGAUUGAACGCUGGCGGCAGGCCUAACACAUGCAAGUCGAGCGGUAACACAGAGAGCUUGCUCUCGGGUGACGAGCGGCGGACGGGUGAGUAAUGUCUGGGAAACUGCCUGAUGGAGGGGGAUAACUACUGGAAACGGUAGCUAAUACCGCAUAACGUCGCAAGACCAAAGUGGGGGACCUUCGGGCCUCAUGCCAUCAGAUGUGCCCAGAUGGGAUUAGCUAGUAGGUGGGGUAAUGGCUCACCUAGGCGACGAUCCCUAGCUGGUCUGAGAGGAUGACCAGCCACACUGGAACUGAGACACGGUCCAGACUCCUACGGGAGGCAGCAGUGGGGAAUAUUGCACAAUGGGCGCAAGCCUGAUGCAGCCAUGCCGCGUGUAUGAAGAAGGCCUUCGGGUUGUAAAGUACUUUCAGCGAGGAGGAAGGC
RNAcentral lists this ribosomal RNA (457 nucleotides) under Klebsiella aerogenes. RNAcentral's name for it is "bacterial SSU rRNA". It matches the Rfam family "Bacterial small subunit ribosomal RNA", at positions 1 to 452 of the family's 1533-position model. Lineage: Bacteria; Pseudomonadati; Pseudomonadota; Gammaproteobacteria; Enterobacterales; Enterobacteriaceae. The record is from RNAcentral.